CCUACGGGGGGCAGCAGUGAGGAAUAUUGGUCAAUGGACGAGAGUCUGAACCAGCCAAGUAGCGUGAAGGAUGACUGCUCUAUGGGUUGUAAACUUCUUUUAUAAAGGAAUAAAACGAGGCACGUGUGCCUUUUUGCAUGUACUUUAUGAAUAAGGAUCGGCUAACUCCGUGCCAGCAGCCGCGGUAAUACGGAGGAUCCGAGCGUUAUCCGGAUUUAUUGGGUUUAAAGGGAGCGUAGGUGGGUUGUUAAGUCAGUUGUGAAAGUUUGCGGCUCAACCGUAAAAUUGCAAUUGAUACUGGCAGUCUUGAGUGCAGUUGAGGUAGGCGGAAUGCGUGGUGUAGCGGUGAAAUGCUUAGAUAUCACGAAGAACCCCGAUUGCGAAGGCAGCUUACUAAACUGUGACUGACAUUGAUGCUCGAAAGUGUGGGGAUCAAACAGGAUUAGAUACCCGGGUAGUC
This 460-nucleotide ribosomal RNA is filed under the name uncultured bacterium. RNAcentral describes it as "partial 16S ribosomal RNA". It matches the Rfam family "Bacterial small subunit ribosomal RNA", at positions 338 to 795 of the family's 1533-position model. The record is from RNAcentral.